Molecule: long non-coding RNA, 496 nt
Organism: Dipodomys spectabilis (banner-tailed kangaroo rat)
Lineage: Eukaryota; Metazoa; Chordata; Mammalia; Rodentia; Heteromyidae
Exons: 4
Source: RefSeq, a predicted model, not a curated record
UAUAAUACACACUACAUUAUGAUGUGGACCAUGGCUGUCAUUCUGGAACCUUCUCUCAUGCUCUUUUGCAUAUAACCCGCCGAAGAUAACUGCUGUUCUGGAAUCCCUGCCGAAUUAAUUUACCAGCACUUUAGUUUUAGAGCCCAUGAGUCCUCACAGAUGUUUUCCUGAUUGUCUUUUGGGAUGAAGGUUCACUGAGAAUAGUCCUGGACAGCCUGGAUCCUUUGUACAGAGGUGCUACAGAGAGUUCAGAGGCACCAGAUGUCAUCUUAAAUUUUCUAGACAACACAGAGAGACUGACUAAACAGCUGUCAGACACCACGCUGACAGUUGCUGUGAUAAAAUGCCACAAAAGUUAAUCAGUGGAGAACAAAAAAUCAAAGUGGCAAUGACCAUCCUGAUUCUAAAGUUGAGAGUUGUGUGUACCUGACCAAUCGGAAUGCCUGUCCUAUGAGUCACUGUGAGUGCUUAGGAAUAAAACGAAUGCGUUAUUUUU